This 24-nucleotide non-coding RNA is filed under the name Drosophila erecta. The record is from RNAcentral. RNAcentral also lists the same sequence under 2 other names. Lineage: Eukaryota; Metazoa; Arthropoda; Insecta; Diptera; Drosophilidae.
UGACAUGGGGACUGUGUGGAAGAA